Molecule: long non-coding RNA, 263 nt
Filed under: Castor canadensis (American beaver)
Lineage: Eukaryota; Metazoa; Chordata; Mammalia; Rodentia; Castoridae
Description: lncRNA (ENSCCNG00000027102.1)
Source: RNAcentral
CUGGGUGUGGGGCGGCUCCGCGGCCGGGGAUGGCGGAGGCCGCGAUCGCGGCGGCUCCGGGACAAGCGGGAGGAGCCCGGGGAGUGCUGUGAGAUGGGCCGGCUCCCAGGUCAGCCGGGAGGACACUUACUACAGCUGCCCAGAAGCACCAUCAGAAGCGCAGCAGAUGUGGGCACCCCAGCCAGCAGCAAAGAAGGGUGCAGGGAAGCUACAGAGAAGCCCCUUCUGAUGCCCCAAGGAGCAAGCCAACCCCUUCCAGGCUC